RNAcentral lists this long non-coding RNA (302 nucleotides) under Androctonus crassicauda. The record is from RNAcentral. Lineage: Eukaryota; Metazoa; Arthropoda; Arachnida; Scorpiones; Buthidae.
AGUCAGUAUAGUGUUUACUGUAAACUCUGUUGAAGUGAAUUUUCUGUUGAUAUUUAGUCAGGUAAUCGAAGCAAGUAGAUUAAAUAAAAAUGCCAUCAACAGAAAUAACGAGCGUGGGAGUUUUUUUGUCAACAGAUGACGCUACUUUCCACUCACUCCCACAUGCUGUCCACCUCUGCGUAGGGGUCACCCGGAUGGUGGAGUACAAAGAUCGACGAGCCGGGUCCGAACCCCAUGAUAAAUAUUUUCAAGAAGUGGAACCGAGAUUCGAACCCGGAUCCCCAGAGUGGAGAGCCGAAGCG